UACAGAGGUCCCAAGCGUUGUUCGGAUUCAUUGGGCGUAAAGGGUGCGUAGGCGGCGCGGUAAGUCGGGUGUGAAAUCUCGGAGCUUAACUCCGAAACUGCAUUCGAUACUGCCGUGCUUGAGGACUGGAGAGGAGACUGGAAUUUACGGUGUAGCGGUGAAAUGCGUAGAUAUGUGGAGGAAUACCGAUGGCGAAGGCAGCCCCCUGGGAUAACACUGACGCUGAGGCGCGAAAGCGUGGGGAGCAAACAGG
This 253-nucleotide ribosomal RNA is filed under the name uncultured bacterium. Its description in RNAcentral is "partial 16S ribosomal RNA". It matches the Rfam family "Bacterial small subunit ribosomal RNA", at positions 524 to 776 of the family's 1533-position model. The record is from RNAcentral.